Molecule: small nuclear RNA, 18 nt
Filed under: Arabidopsis thaliana (thale cress)
Lineage: Eukaryota; Viridiplantae; Streptophyta; Magnoliopsida; Brassicales; Brassicaceae
Description: snRNA_05471
Source: RNAcentral
GACCUCCCGGGAAGUCCU